Molecule: long non-coding RNA, 404 nt
Organism: Rhincodon typus (whale shark)
Lineage: Eukaryota; Metazoa; Chordata; Chondrichthyes; Orectolobiformes; Rhincodontidae
Exons: 3
Source: RefSeq, a predicted model, not a curated record
CGGGCCCCAAUUAUCUUCUUCCGGAGGAUAAUUACUUAUCAUUUUUCUACUUUAAGCAGUCUUUUCCCACGCCUGCAGCCGUGCUCAGCUUCCAGCUGCAGCAAAUUUAAAACCACACCAGUCCAUCGGUGUUAGUUAUGCCUAGGCUUUCUAUUUCAUCGCGCCAGUCCGACGGUGUUCGAUACAACGCCCCCAGGGCUGCUUGAGGACCUAAUCUGGCACCUGAUGUUACUCAUUUACUGGGAAAAUCAUCCUUUCAUUAAUAAAGCUGGAAUUGGUCAUUUAUCUGUCCUAAGGCAUCCUUUUAUCAGAACUGUCUUGGAUGGGAACAUACAGCGUUCUUUCAGUGACCUGCUAGCAGUUCUGUUCAAAGAUGCUGUCAGACCUAAGAAGAUUUUGCAGCA